UUCAGCCUUAAGGAGUUCAGCUACUGAGGAUCCAAAAUGCCUGCACCCUGUGAACCCUGCAAAGACUCGUGCAAAGAUGACGCCAACUGCAAGGACAACUGCUCCUGCGAAGCUGACUGCUCCGACUGCUCCACCAAGCCUGGUGGUUGCUGCUAAUCAUCAGAUCGUCGCCACUCAAGCUUAUCAUAUCUUCGCCUGCUGACCGAUCUCGGACGUAGAAUAAAAUUUGUUUCAUUGUUAUAUAAGCAUGAAUUAAAAAAGUGGUGCCCAUCAA
This is a long non-coding RNA of Pectinophora gossypiella (pink bollworm), 274 nucleotides long. RefSeq lists it as uncharacterized. Lineage: Eukaryota; Metazoa; Arthropoda; Insecta; Lepidoptera; Gelechiidae. The transcript has 3 exons. The record is from RefSeq and is a predicted model, not a curated record.